AAUAUGAGGAAUCACUGAAUACACAUAUAGAAGUGUCUAUGUAAGAUAACUUGGGCAGCCUCAUAGUAUAUAACUGUUAGAAAAUGGUAUUCCGAAUGUGUUAG
Molecule: long non-coding RNA, 104 nt
Organism: Ipomoea nil (Japanese morning glory)
Lineage: Eukaryota; Viridiplantae; Streptophyta; Magnoliopsida; Solanales; Convolvulaceae
Exons: 3
Source: RefSeq, a predicted model, not a curated record